GGGGCUGGGGGAGUAGCUGGGGCGCACCUGCCAGAGGAUUCAGCCCCGGGUGUGAGAAAGAGUUGGGGAGGAACUAGGGCAGUGAGCGGGAAGGAGCAGGACGGAGCCGGCGGCAAUGUUGCGGAGGAGGUGCUCUGCCAAGAGCAGGCAUCAAGUCGGCGCCGCAGCGGUGUGAACAACGUGGCUGCCCCAGGGACCUCAGCGACCUCAGGUGAGAAGAGAAAUUCUUCUGUGUUUCCUGCUGCGCCUCUAACCUGACCUGCGCCAGAUGAAGCCAACUGCCCUGUCGGUGCUGUUUCCUAUCCUCUACCUCCCAGUCAGGGGCUCCACACACUCAGUGUUGUGGCGCUUUGCUCCUUGGGUUCCCUUACCCUCACGCUCCUUCUGUAGUUGGUUGGUGACCGAGUCCUGUGUCCCUGCCUCCCACAUGCCUGAUCAGAAUAAAUUCUCCUCUUGCUGUC
Nyctereutes procyonoides (raccoon dog) is the source of this 461-nucleotide long non-coding RNA. RefSeq lists it as uncharacterized. The transcript has 3 exons. The record is from RefSeq and is a predicted model, not a curated record. Lineage: Eukaryota; Metazoa; Chordata; Mammalia; Carnivora; Canidae.